GCAGUAGAAGUAUUCCGUCUGACUUUGAUCGGACUUAGAUUUUUAGGUCUGACUGGACUUGGGUGCCCCAGUACUUUGCACUCUUUUCUUGUUCUUCUUAUUCUUUUUCCCUUUCUUAAAAGAUCGACGUCCAGAAGAAGAUCCUCCCACAAUAUUUAAUGACUCCUUGUGGAGCUAGUGAUCUUUCUCAAAGUUCUGCAGCAACUCUAGCAAACCGUGGUAGUUGACCGCAGGCUUUGUCAUUUAAAAAUGAGUAAGGAAAGAAAGGUAGGACUUGGAUAGAGAGUUCAGAAUGGUAUCUUUUUUCAGCUACUCAUGCAAGAAAAAGUUGAGCUUGCUUAAGCACUCAAUCAUCUCGAUCAUAUAUCGUACAUAAUCGGUGACUGACGCUCCUUACCUCGUUUGAGCAUUGAAGAUGGCACAAUUAGUCUUGUGCCUCUCAACAUCGUUGGGUGUGCCAAAGGACUCGUUUAACAUUUGCAACAUGUUCUGUGGCUGAGCAUUCCUAAAACGAUGGCUAACCUCAUCAUUCAUUACCAUCAGCAUAAUACAAUGAACCGUAGUUCGAUCAUUGAACCACUUUUGAUAAGUGUCUCUGAUCGUGCUACAUGCAUUCGGAGCUGGCUCUUCGGGUACCGGAUCUGUCAACACAUAUAAGAUAUGUUCGUGCUUCAGAACUAUUUUGAGCUUUCGAUACCGACUAUUGAAUUUGAUCCCAUCAAUUUAUCACUAUCUAAUAGUGAUCAGAGUGACAAGAUAAUGGUCAUAACUGUAAAAAAAAAAUUAAAAUCUAAUUAGUAUAUGAAUUGAUUAAGCCAAA
This 820-nucleotide long non-coding RNA is filed under the name Elaeis guineensis (African oil palm). RNAcentral describes it as "long non-coding RNA (EGUI_LNC082337)". Lineage: Eukaryota; Viridiplantae; Streptophyta; Magnoliopsida; Arecales; Arecaceae. The record is from RNAcentral.